CUAAAGGCUCUUCUAAGAGCCACCACAAUACAUGGAAGAGCUGUG
Molecule: non-coding RNA, 45 nt
Organism: Tauraco erythrolophus (red-crested turaco)
Lineage: Eukaryota; Metazoa; Chordata; Aves; Musophagiformes; Musophagidae
Source: Rfam